UGUGACCAUAUCAUGUUGAAACCUUUUCUUGUAUGAUCACUGAAGUUAAGUGACAUCAAGCCUGAUCAGUAACAAGGUGGGUGACCACUUGGAAAUACCAGGUGCUGUAAG
Non-coding RNA from Acanthosepion pharaonis, 111 nucleotides. The record is from the annotation of a GenBank genome assembly. Lineage: Eukaryota; Metazoa; Mollusca; Cephalopoda; Sepiida; Sepiidae.